This 528-nucleotide ribosomal RNA is filed under the name uncultured bacterium. RNAcentral describes it as "bacterial SSU rRNA". It matches the Rfam family "Bacterial small subunit ribosomal RNA", at positions 777 to 1304 of the family's 1533-position model. The record is from RNAcentral.
AAUAGAUACCCAGGUAGUCCACGCCGUAAACGAUGAGUGCUAAGUGUUAGAGGGUUUCCGCCCUUUAGUGCUGAAGUUAACGCAUUAAGCACUCCGCCUGGGGAGUACGGCCGCAAGGCUGAAACUCAAAGGAAUUGACGGGGGCCCGCACAAGCGGUGGAGCAUGUGGUUUAAUUCGAAGCAACGCGAAGAACCUUACCAGGUCUUGACAUCCUCUGACAACCCUAGAGAUAGGGCUUCUCCUUCGGGAGCAGAGUGACAGGUGGUGCAUGGUUGUCGUCAGCUCGUGUCGUGAGAUGUUGGGUUAAGUCCCGCAACGAGCGCAACCCUUGAUCUUAGUUGCCAUCAUUAAGUUGGGCACUCUAAGGUGACUGCCGGUGACAAACCGGAGGAAGGUGGGGAUGACGUCAAAUCAUCAUGCCCCUUAUGACCUGGGCUACACACGUGCUACAAUGGACGGUACAAAGAGCUGCAAGACCGCGAGGUGGAGCUAAUCUCAUAAAAACCGUUCUCAGUUCGGAUUGUAGG